GACGAACGCUGGCGGCGUGCUUAACACAUGCAAGUCGAACGGAAAGGCCCUGCUUUUGUGGGGUGCUCGAGUGGCGAACGGGUGAGUAACACGUGAGUAACCUGCCCUUGACUUUGUGAUAACUUCAGGAAACUGGGGCUAAUACCGGAUAGGAGCUCCUGCUGCAUGGUGGUGGUUGGAAAGUUUCGGCGGUUGUGGAUGGACUCGCGGCUUAUCAGCUUGUUGGUGGGGUAGUGGCUUACCAAGGCUUUGACGGGUAGCCGGCCUGAGAGGGUGAACGGCCACAUUGGGACUGAGAUACGGCCCAGACUCCUACGGGAGGCAGCAGGGGGGAAUAUUGCACAAUGGGCGGAAGCCUGAUGCAGCAACGCCGCGUGCGGGAUGACGGCCUUCGGGUUGUAAACCGCUUUCGCCUGUGACGAAGCGUGAGUGACGGUAAUGGGUAAAGAAGCACCGGCUAACUACGUG
Molecule: ribosomal RNA, 468 nt
Filed under: uncultured bacterium
Lineage: Bacteria
Description: partial 16S ribosomal RNA
Rfam family: Bacterial small subunit ribosomal RNA
Source: RNAcentral